UGCAGUCGAACGUGAAGGUAUUAGCGAGCAUUUCGGUGUGAGCGGUACCUGAAAGUGGCGGACGGGUGAGUAACACGUAGGUGACCUGCCCCGAAGAGGGGGAUAACCACUGGAAACGGUGGCUAAUACCCCAUGGUCCUGUCGGAGUUGGAAUUCGGCAGGUAAAGGUUACGGCGCUUCGGGAGGGGCCUGCGGUCGAUUAGCUAGUUGGUGGGGUAAAGGCUCACCAAGGCGAUGAUCGAUAGCUGGUCUGAGAGGACGAUCAGCCACACUGGAACUGAGAGACGGUCCAGACUCCUACGGGGGGCAGCAGUGAGGAAUAUUGCCCAAUGGGGGAAACCCUGAGGCAGCAACGCCGCGUGGAGGAUGAAGGUCUUCGGAUUGUAAACUCCUUUUCCGGGGGAAGAGAGAGGACGGUACCCCGGGAAUCAGUCACGGCUAACUACGUGCCAGCAGCCGCGGUAAUACGUAGGUGGCAAGCGUUAUCCGGAAUUACUGGGCGUAAAGCGCAUGCAGGCGGUCUUUCAAGUCUGGCGUGAAAGCUCCUGGCUUAACCGGGAGAGGACGUUGGAAACUGGGAGGCUUGAGGAUAUGAGAGGGACGUGGAAUUCUCGGUGUAGUGGUGGAAUGCGUAGAGAUCGAGAAGAACACCAGUGGCGAAGGCGAUGUCCUGGCAUAAUCCUGACGCUGAGGUGCGAAAGCGUGGGUAGCGAACGGGAUUAGAUACCCCGGUAGUCCACGCUGUAAACGAUGAGUACUAGGUGUAGGCGGUAUCGACCCCGUCUGUGCCGCAGCCAACGCGAUAAGUACUCCGCCUGGGGACUACGGCCGCAAGGCUAAAACUCAAAGGAAUUGACGGGGCCCGCACAAGCAGCGGAGCGUGUGGUUUAAUUCGAUGCGACGCGAAAACCUUACCUGGGCUUGACAUG
This 929-nucleotide ribosomal RNA is filed under the name uncultured Caldilinea sp. Its description in RNAcentral is "bacterial SSU rRNA". It matches the Rfam family "Bacterial small subunit ribosomal RNA", at positions 56 to 988 of the family's 1533-position model. Lineage: Bacteria; Bacillati; Chloroflexota; Caldilineae; Caldilineales; Caldilineaceae. The record is from RNAcentral.